This 245-nucleotide ribosomal RNA is filed under the name uncultured Vampirovibrio sp. RNAcentral's name for it is "partial 16S ribosomal RNA". It matches the Rfam family "Bacterial small subunit ribosomal RNA", at positions 524 to 768 of the family's 1533-position model. The record is from RNAcentral. Lineage: Bacteria; Bacillati; Candidatus Melainabacteria; Vampirovibriophyceae; Vampirovibrionales; Vampirovibrionaceae.
UACGGGGGAUGCGAGCGUUGUCCGGAAUCAUUGGGCGUAAAGAGUUCGUAGGUGGCACGUUAAGUCUGGUGUUAAAUGCAGAGGCUCAACUUCUGUUUGGCACUGGAUACUGGCGAGCUUGAAUGCGGUAGAGGUAAAGGGAAUUCCUGGUGUAGCGGUGAAAUGCGUAGAUAUCAGGAGGAACAUCGGUGGCGUAAGCGCUUUACUGGGCCGUAAUUGACACUGAGGAACGAAAGCCAGGGUAG